RNAcentral lists this ribosomal RNA (778 nucleotides) under Bacillus siamensis. Its description in RNAcentral is "bacterial SSU rRNA". It matches the Rfam family "Bacterial small subunit ribosomal RNA", at positions 48 to 808 of the family's 1533-position model. The record is from RNAcentral. Lineage: Bacteria; Bacillati; Bacillota; Bacilli; Caryophanales; Bacillaceae.
GCUAUACAUGCAGUCGAGCGGACAGAUGGGAGCUUGCUCCCUGAUGUUAGCGGCGGACGGGUGAGUAACACGUGGGUAACCUGCCUGUAAGACUGGGAUAACUCCGGGAAACCGGGGCUAAUACCGGAUGGUUGUUUGAACCGCAUGGUUCAGACAUAAAAGGUGGCUUCGGCUACCACUUACAGAUGGACCCGCGGCGCAUUAGCUAGUUGGUGAGGUAACGGCUCACCAAGGCGACGAUGCGUAGCCGACCUGAGAGGGUGAUCGGCCACACUGGGACUGAGACACGGCCCAGACUCCUACGGGAGGCAGCAGUAGGGAAUCUUCCGCAAUGGACGAAAGUCUGACGGAGCAACGCCGCGUGAGUGAUGAAGGUUUUCGGAUCGUAAAGCUCUGUUGUUAGGGAAGAACAAGUGCCGUUCAAAUAGGGCGGCACCUUGACGGUACCUAACCAGAAAGCCACGGCUAACUACGUGCCAGCAGCCGCGGUAAUACGUAGGUGGCAAGCGUUGUCCGGAAUUAUUGGGCGUAAAGGGCUCGCAGGCGGUUUCUUAAGUCUGAUGUGAAAGCCCCCGGCUCAACCGGGGAGGGUCAUUGGAAACUGGGGAACUUGAGUGCAGAAGAGGAGAGUGGAAUUCCACGUGUAGCGGUGAAAUGCGUAGAGAUGUGGAGGAACACCAGUGGCGAAGGCGACUCUCUGGUCUGUAACUGACGCUGAGGAGCGAAAGCGUGGGGAGCGCACAUGAUUAGAUUUCCUUGUUUGUCCUCAUCGUUUUUU